AUUGAACGCUGGCGGCAUGCCUUACACAUGCAAGUCGAACGGCAGCGGACCUUCGGGUGCCGGCGAGUGGCGAGCGGGUGAGUAAUAUAUCAGAACGUACCUUUCAGUGGGGGAUAACGUAGCGAAAGUUACGCUAAUACCGCAUAUUCUGUGAGCAGGAAAGCAGGGGAUCGCAAGACCUUGCGCUGAUUGAGCGGCCGAUAUCAGAUUAGCUAGUUGGUGAGGUAAAGGCUCACCAAGGCGACGAUCUGUAGCGGGUCUGAGAGGAUGAUCCGCCACACUGGAACUGAGACACGGUCCAGACUCCUACGGGAGGCAGCAGUGGGGAAUUUUGGACAAUGGGCGCAAGCCUGAUCCAGCCAUGCCGCGUGAGUGAAGAAGGCCUCGGUUGU
This 392-nucleotide ribosomal RNA is filed under the name uncultured bacterium. RNAcentral describes it as "bacterial SSU rRNA". It matches the Rfam family "Bacterial small subunit ribosomal RNA", at positions 30 to 426 of the family's 1533-position model. The record is from RNAcentral.